RNAcentral lists this microRNA (21 nucleotides) under Picea abies (Norway spruce). RNAcentral describes it as "pab-miR11409a". Lineage: Eukaryota; Viridiplantae; Streptophyta; Pinopsida; Pinales; Pinaceae. The record is from miRBase by way of RNAcentral.
AACCCCGGAUCUAUCAAGCUC